GCCCCUAUAGCUCAAGGGCAGAGCGGAAUACUGUUAAUAUUUUGAUAGAUGUUCGAAUCAUCUUAGGGGCU
This 71-nucleotide transfer RNA is filed under the name Rickettsiales bacterium. RNAcentral's name for it is "tRNA-Asn". It matches the Rfam family "tRNA". Rfam says of the family: Transfer RNA (tRNA) molecules are approximately 80 nucleotides in length. Their secondary structure includes four short double-helical elements and three loops (D, anti-codon, and T loops). Further hydrogen bonds mediate the characteristic L-shaped molecular structure. tRNAs have two regions of fundamental functional importance: the anti-codon, which is responsible for specific mRNA codon recognition, and the 3' end, to which the tRNAs corresponding amino acid is attached (by aminoacyl-tRNA synthetases). tRNAs cope with the degeneracy of the genetic code in two manners: having more than one tRNA (with a specific anti-codon) for a particular amino acid; and 'wobble' base-pairing, i.e. permitting non-standard base-pairing at the 3rd anti-codon position. The record is from RNAcentral. Lineage: Bacteria; Pseudomonadati; Pseudomonadota; Alphaproteobacteria; Rickettsiales.